CGCUGUCACUCCUACGGGGAGGCAGCAGUAGGGAAUCUUCCACAAUGGGCGCAAGCCUGAUGGAGCAACACCGCGUGAGUGAAGAAGGGUUUCGGCUCGUAAAGCUCUGUUGUUAAAGAAGAACACGUAUGAGAGUAACUGUUCAUACGUUGACGGUAUUUAACCAGAAAGUCACGGCUAACUACGUGCCAGCAGCCGCGGUAAUACGUAGGUGGCAAGCGUUAUCCGGAUUUAUUGGGCGUAAAGAGAGUGCAGGCGGUUUUCUAAGUCUGAUGUGAAAGCCUUCGGCUUAACCGGAGAAGUGCAUCGGAAACUGGAUAACUUGAGUGCAGAAGAGGGUAGUGGAACUCCAUGUGUAGCGGUGGAAUGCGUAGAUAUAUGGAAGAACACCAGUGGCGAAGGCGGCUACCUGGUCUGCAACUGACGCUGAGACUCGAAAGCAUGGGUAGCGAACAGGAUUAGAUACCCUGGUAG
Molecule: ribosomal RNA, 474 nt
Filed under: uncultured bacterium
Lineage: Bacteria
Description: bacterial SSU rRNA
Rfam family: Bacterial small subunit ribosomal RNA
Source: RNAcentral